CAGACAGAGCAGGAACCUAAUAUGCUCCUUGAAUCUGAAGAUGAGCUACUUGUAGAUGAAGAAGAAGCAGCAGCACUGCUAGAAAGUGGCAGUUCAGUGGGAGACGAGACCGAUCUUGCUAAUUUAGGUGAUGUGGCUUCUGAUGGGAAAAAGGAACCAUCAGAUAAAGCUGUGAAAAAAGAUGGAAGUGCUUCAGCAGCAGCAAAGAAAAAGCUUAAAAAGAUGAGGUUGGUGAUGAGGAAGAUUCGGAACUUCAGAAACUUCGUAAAUCGGGCAUGGCAUUUAAAUCUGGUGACAAAAAUGAUGAUGGUUUGGUUGAAAUUAAGGUGGACAAGAUGGAGGAACUUGAUCAAGAAAACGAAGCAGCGUUGGAAAAUGGAAUUAAAAAUGAGGAAAACACAGAACCAGGUGCUGAAUCUGCUGAGAACGCUGAUGAUCCCAACAAAGAUACAAGUGAAAACGCAGAUGGUCAAAGUGAUGAGAACAAGGAGGACUAUACAAUCCCAGAUGAGUAUAGAAUUGGACCAUAUCAGCCCAAUGUUCCUGUUGGUAUAGACUAUGUGAUACCUAAAACAGGGUUUUACUGUAAGCUGUGUUCACUCUUUUAUACAAAUGAAGAAGUUGCAAAGAAUACUCAUUGCA
Molecule: small RNA, 642 nt
Filed under: Pan troglodytes (chimpanzee)
Lineage: Eukaryota; Metazoa; Chordata; Mammalia; Primates; Hominidae
Description: processed transcript
Source: RNAcentral